Molecule: ribosomal RNA, 340 nt
Filed under: uncultured bacterium
Lineage: Bacteria
Description: bacterial SSU rRNA
Rfam family: Bacterial small subunit ribosomal RNA
Source: RNAcentral
AAAACAAACCUACGGGAGGCAGCAGUGGGGAAUAUUGCACAAUGGGCGCAAGCCUGAUGCAGCCAUGCCGCGUGUAUGAAGAAGGCCUUCGGGUUGUAAAGUACUUUCAGCGAGGAGGAAGGCGAUAAGGUUAAUAACCUUGUCGAUUGACGUUACUCGCAGAAGAAGCACCGGCUAACUCCGUGCCAGCAGCCGCGGUAAUACGGAGGGUGCAAGCGUUAAUCGGAAUUACUGGGCGUAAAGCGCACGCAGGCGGUCUGUCAAGUCGGAUGUGAAAUCCCCGGGCUCAACCUGGGAACUGCAUCCGAAACUGGCAGGCUAGAGUCUUGUAGAGGGGGGU